AUCAUACUCCCUCCGUCCGAAAAUACUUGUCCAAGAAAUGAACGAAUCUAGAUGUAUUUUAGUUUUGUAUACAUCCAUUUGUAUCCAUUUCUUCGAUAAAUAUUUUCAGACGGAGGGAGUAUUUC
Triticum aestivum (bread wheat) is the source of this 125-nucleotide non-coding RNA. The record is from Rfam. Lineage: Eukaryota; Viridiplantae; Streptophyta; Magnoliopsida; Poales; Poaceae.